RNAcentral lists this ribosomal RNA (487 nucleotides) under uncultured Flavobacterium sp. RNAcentral describes it as "bacterial SSU rRNA". It matches the Rfam family "Bacterial small subunit ribosomal RNA", at positions 8 to 498 of the family's 1533-position model. Lineage: Bacteria; Pseudomonadati; Bacteroidota; Flavobacteriia; Flavobacteriales; Flavobacteriaceae. The record is from RNAcentral.
AGAGUUUGAUCCUGGCUCAGGAUGAACGCUAGCGGCAGGCUUAACACAUGCAAGUCGAGGGGUAGAGUAGCAAUACUUGAGACCGGCGCACGGGUGCGUAACGCGUAUGCAACCUACCUUUUACAGGGGAAUAGCCCAGAGAAAUUUGGAUUAAUGCCCCAUGGUAUAAUUGAAUGGCAUCAUUUAAUUAUUAAAGUUCCAACGGUAAAAGAUGGGCAUGCGUCCUAUUAGCUAGAUGGUAAGGUAACGGCUUACCAUGGCUACGAUAGGUAGGGGUCCUGAGAGGGAGAUCCCCCACACUGGUACUGAGACACGGACCAGACUCCUACGGGAGGCAGCAGUGAGGAAUAUUGGACAAUGGGCGCAAGCCUGAUCCAGCCAUGCCGCGUGCAGGAAGACGCAUCUAUGGUGUGUAAACUGCUUUUGUACGGGAAGAAACACUCCUUCGUGAAGGAGCUUGACGGUACCUUAAGAAUAAGAUCCCAAU